This 540-nucleotide ribosomal RNA is filed under the name uncultured Geobacteraceae bacterium. RNAcentral's name for it is "partial 16S ribosomal RNA". It matches the Rfam family "Bacterial small subunit ribosomal RNA", at positions 9 to 526 of the family's 1533-position model. Lineage: Bacteria; Pseudomonadati; Thermodesulfobacteriota; Desulfuromonadia; Geobacterales; Geobacteraceae. The record is from RNAcentral.
GAGUUUGAUCCUGGCUCAGAACGAACGCUGGCGGCGUGCCUAACACAUGCAAGUCGAACGUGAUCCAGAGCAUGCUCUGGUGAAAGUGGYGCACKGGUGAGUAACGCGUGGAUAACCCACCCUGGUAUCCGGGAUAACAUUCCGAAAGGGGUGSUAAUACCGGAUAAGCCCACGGGCUCUUUGGAGCYUGCGGGAAAAGGUGGCCUCUAUUUAUAAGCUACUGUAUCAGGAUGGGUCCGCGUACCAUUAGCUAGUUGGCGGUGUAACGGACCACCAAGGCGACGAUGGUUAGCUGGUCUGAGAGGAUGAUCAGCCACACUGGAACUGAGACRCGGUCCAGACUCCUACGGGAGGCAGCAGUGGGGAAUUSUGYGCAAUGGGGGAAACCCUGACGCAGCAACGCCGCGUGAGUGAUGAAGGCCUUUGGKCCGUAAAKYUCUGUCAGAGGGGAMGAAAKGAUAKARUSMUAAUMCCACUUUAUCUUGACGGUACCCUCAAGGGAAGCMCCGGCUAACUCCGUGCCAGCMGCCGCGGUAAUAC